This 497-nucleotide ribosomal RNA is filed under the name uncultured bacterium. Its description in RNAcentral is "partial 16S ribosomal RNA". It matches the Rfam family "Bacterial small subunit ribosomal RNA", at positions 28 to 507 of the family's 1533-position model. The record is from RNAcentral.
GAUGAACGCUGGCGGCGUGCCUAAUACAUGCAAGUCGAGCGAACAGAUGAGGAGCUUGCUCCUCUGACGUUAGCGGCGGACGGGUGAGUAACACGUGGAUAACCUACCUAUAAGACUGGGAUAACUACGGGAAACCGGAGCUAAUACCGGAUAAUAUAUUGAACCGCAUGGUUCAAUAGUGAAAGACGGUUUUGCUGUCACUUAUAGAUGGAUCCGCGCCGCAUUAGCUAGUUGGUAAGGUAACGGCUUACCAAGGCAACGAUGCGUAGCCGACCUGAGAGGGUGAACGGCCACACUGGAACUGAGAAACGGUCCAGACUCCUAAGGGAGGCAGCAGUAGGGAAACUUCCGCAAUGGGCGAAAGCCUGACGGAGCAAAGACGCGUGAGUGAUGAAGGUCUUCGGAUCGUAAAACUCUGUUAUUAGGGAAGAAAAAAUGUGUAAGUAACUAUGCACGUCUUGAAGGUACCUAAUCAGAAAGCCACGGCUAAAUACGUG